RNAcentral lists this ribosomal RNA (253 nucleotides) under uncultured bacterium. Its description in RNAcentral is "partial 16S ribosomal RNA". It matches the Rfam family "Bacterial small subunit ribosomal RNA", at positions 524 to 776 of the family's 1533-position model. The record is from RNAcentral.
UACGUAGGGGGCUAGCGUUGUCCGGAUUUAUUGGGCGUAAAGAGCGUGUAGGCGGCCAGGUAGGUCUGGUGUGAAAACUCGAGGCUUAACCUUGAGAUGUCAUCGGAAACCAUUUGGCUAGAGUCCGGAAGAGGAAAGUGGAAUUCCUGGUGUAGCGGUGAAAUGCGCAGAUAUCAGGAAGAACACCAAUGGCGAAAGCAGCUUUCUGGGACGGUACUGACGCUGAGACGCAAAAGCGUGGGGAGCGAACAGG